CCAGGUGAUGAGUUGGCACUGGGCUCUGAAUACAAAGCAUGAGCGACACGCCACUUUGCGGCAGGCCUAGAAAACCUCGCCCACUGAAC
RNAcentral lists this small nucleolar RNA (89 nucleotides) under Hapsidospora chrysogenum ATCC 11550. RNAcentral's name for it is "Acremonium chrysogenum ATCC 11550 A. fumigatus snoRNA Afu_513". It matches the Rfam family "A. fumigatus snoRNA Afu_513". Lineage: Eukaryota; Fungi; Ascomycota; Sordariomycetes; Hypocreales; Bionectriaceae. The record is from Rfam by way of RNAcentral.